GAUGAACGCUGGCGGCGUGCCUAAUACAUGCAAGUCGAGCGAACAGAUAAGGAGCUUGCUCCUUUGACGUUAGCGGCGGACGGGUGAGUAACACGUGGGUAACCUAUCUAUAAGACUGGAAUAACUCCGGGAAACCGGGGCUAAUGCCGGAUAACAUGUUGAACCGCAUGGUUCUACAGUGAAAGGCGGCUUUGCUGUCACUUAUAGAUGGACCCGCGCCGUAUUAGCUAGUUGGUGAGGUAACGGCUCACCAAGGCAACGAUACGUAGCCGACCUGAGAGGGUGAUCGGCCACACUGGACUUGGGACACGGUCCAGACUCCUACGGGAGGCAGCAGUGGGGAAUCGUCCGCAAUGGGCGAAAGCCUGACGGAGCAACGCCGCGUGAGUGAUGAAGGUCUUCGGAUCGUAAAACUCUGUUAUUAGGGAAGAACAAAUGCGUAAGUAACUGUGCGCGUCUUGACGGUACCUAAUCAGAAAGCCACGGCUAACUACGUG
RNAcentral lists this ribosomal RNA (497 nucleotides) under uncultured bacterium. Its description in RNAcentral is "partial 16S ribosomal RNA". It matches the Rfam family "Bacterial small subunit ribosomal RNA", at positions 28 to 507 of the family's 1533-position model. The record is from RNAcentral.